UGACCCACCCAGCCGGGAAUA
RNAcentral lists this microRNA (21 nucleotides) under Pteropus alecto (black flying fox). Its description in RNAcentral is "pal-miR-1180-5p". Lineage: Eukaryota; Metazoa; Chordata; Mammalia; Chiroptera; Pteropodidae. The record is from miRBase by way of RNAcentral.